GGGCCCGUAGCUCAGUUUGGAUAGAGCAGCACCCUCCUAAGGUGAAGGUCGGGGGUUCAAAUCCCCUCGGGUCCG
This is a transfer RNA of 75 nucleotides. It matches the Rfam family "tRNA". From Rfam's summary of the family: Transfer RNA (tRNA) molecules are approximately 80 nucleotides in length. Their secondary structure includes four short double-helical elements and three loops (D, anti-codon, and T loops). Further hydrogen bonds mediate the characteristic L-shaped molecular structure. tRNAs have two regions of fundamental functional importance: the anti-codon, which is responsible for specific mRNA codon recognition, and the 3' end, to which the tRNAs corresponding amino acid is attached (by aminoacyl-tRNA synthetases). tRNAs cope with the degeneracy of the genetic code in two manners: having more than one tRNA (with a specific anti-codon) for a particular amino acid; and 'wobble' base-pairing, i.e. permitting non-standard base-pairing at the 3rd anti-codon position.